This 297-nucleotide unclassified non-coding RNA is filed under the name Hevea brasiliensis (rubber tree). The record is from RNAcentral. Lineage: Eukaryota; Viridiplantae; Streptophyta; Magnoliopsida; Malpighiales; Euphorbiaceae.
AAAAAUAUAGAAUGAUAACUUAAGAGGGAACUAAGGAUUCAAGAUGAAGGUCAAUCCAAGGUACCUUACUCAGCAGGUAUGCCGUCCAAGUCAAAACUGAACCUGUGGUUUCAUGCCCAGCAACUAGCAUUGACAGAAGAUCAUCUCGAAGUUGUAAACUUGAAACCUCCUCACGGCUAGCAAGCAAAAAUCGAAGGAUGCUUGGAUCUCUAUCAUUCACGUACUCAUCUUCAUUAAUCCUCUCACCCUCAGUUUCUACAAUCUCUCUGCACUUCGCAAUAAGUUCUUCAACUGUUU